UGUGGUUUAAUUCGAUGCAACGCGAAGAACCUUACCUGGUCUUGACAUACUGAGAACCUGCAGAGAUGGGGAGUGCCUUCGGGAAUUCACAUACAGGUGCUGCAUGGCUGUCGUCAGCUCGUGUGUGAGAUGUUGGGUUAAGUCCCGCAACGAGCGCAACCCUUUUCCUUAUUUGCCAGCGGGUUCAGCCCGGGAACUUUAAGGAU
RNAcentral lists this ribosomal RNA (206 nucleotides) under uncultured Enhydrobacter sp. Its description in RNAcentral is "partial 16S ribosomal RNA". It matches the Rfam family "Bacterial small subunit ribosomal RNA", at positions 940 to 1147 of the family's 1533-position model. The record is from RNAcentral. Lineage: Bacteria; Pseudomonadati; Pseudomonadota; Alphaproteobacteria; Hyphomicrobiales.